CAUGCAAGUCGAGGGGCAGCAUAAAUUACUUGUAAUUUGAUGGCGACCGGCGAACGGGUGCGUAACGCGUAUGCAACUUACCUUUUACUAGAGAAUAGCCAAGAGAAAUUUUGAUUAAUGCUCUAUGUUCUUAUUAACUCGCAUGAGUUAAUAAGCAAAGCUCCGGCGGUAAAAGAUGGGCAUGCGUCCUAUUAGCUUGUAGGUGAGGUAAUGGCUCACCUAAGCUCCGAUAGGUAGGGGUCCUGAGAGGGAGAUCCCCCACACUGGUACUGAGACACGGACCAGACUUCUACGGAAGGCAGCAGUAAGGAAUAUUGGACAAUGGAGGCAACUCUGAUCCAGCCAUGCCGCGUGAAGGAAGACGGCCUUAUGGGUUGUAAACUUCUUUUAUACAGGAAGAAACCUUUCCACGUGUGGAAAGCUGACGGUACUGUAAGAAUAAGGAUCGGCUAACUCCGUGCCAGCAGCCGCGGUAAUACGGAGGAUCCAAGCGUUAUCCGGAAUUAUUGGGUUUAAAGGGUCCGCAGGCUGUUUGUUAAGUCAGAGGUGAAAUCCUACCGCUCAACGGUAGAACUGCCUUUGAUACUGGCAAACUUGAGU
RNAcentral lists this ribosomal RNA (600 nucleotides) under uncultured Bacteroidota bacterium. RNAcentral's name for it is "bacterial SSU rRNA". It matches the Rfam family "Bacterial small subunit ribosomal RNA", at positions 54 to 647 of the family's 1533-position model. The record is from RNAcentral. Lineage: Bacteria; Pseudomonadati; Bacteroidota.